RNAcentral lists this ribosomal RNA (2326 nucleotides) under Escherichia coli. RNAcentral describes it as "partial 23S ribosomal RNA". It matches the Rfam family "Bacterial large subunit ribosomal RNA", at positions 609 to 2915 of the family's 2925-position model. Lineage: Bacteria; Pseudomonadati; Pseudomonadota; Gammaproteobacteria; Enterobacterales; Enterobacteriaceae. The record is from RNAcentral.
UGUAUAAUGGGUCAGCGACUUAUAUUCUGUAGCAAGGUUAACCGAAUAGGGGAGCCGAAGGGAAACCGAGUCUUAACUGGGCGUUAAGUUGCAGGGUAUAGACCCGAAACCCGGUGAUCUAGCCAUGGGCAGGUUGAAGGUUGGGUAACACUAACUGGAGGACCGAACCGACUAAUGUUGAAAAAUUAGCGGAUGACUUGUGGCUGGGGGUGAAAGGCCAAUCAAACCGGGAGAUAGCUGGUUCUCCCCGAAAGCUAUUUAGGUAGCGCCUCGUGAAUUCAUCUCCGGGGGUAGAGCACUGUUUCGGCAAGGGGGUCAUCCCGACUUACCAACCCGAUGCAAACUGCGAAUACCGGAGAAUGUUAUCACGGGAGACACACGGCGGGUGCUAACGUCCGUCGUGAAGAGGGAAACAACCCAGACCGCCAGCUAAGGUCCCAAAGUCAUGGUUAAGUGGGAAACGAUGUGGGAAGGCCCAGACAGCCAGGAUGUUGGCUUAGAAGCAGCCAUCAUUUAAAGAAAGCGUAAUAGCUCACUGGUCGAGUCGGCCUGCGCGGAAGAUGUAACGGGGCUAAACCAUGCACCGAAGCUGCGGCAGCGACGCUGAUGCGUUGUUGGGUAGGGGAGCGUUCUGUAAGCCUGUGAAGGUGUACUGUGAGGUAUGCUGGAGGUAUCAGAAGUGCGAAUGCUGACAUAAGUAACGAUAAAGCGGGUGAAAAGCCCGCUCGCCGGAAGACCAAGGGUUCCUGUCCAACGUUAAUCGGGGCAGGGUGAGUCGACCCCUAAGGCGAGGCCGAAAGGCGUAGUCGAUGGGAAACAGGUUAAUAUUCCUGUACUUGGUGUUACUGCGAAGGGGGGACGGAGAAGGCUAUGUUGGCCGGGCGACGGUUGUCCCGGUUUAAGCGUGUAGGCUGGUUUUCCAGGCAAAUCCGGAAAAUCAAGGCUGAGGCGUGAUGACGAGGCACUACGGUGCUGAAGCAACAAAUGCCCUGCUUCCAGGAAAAGCCUCUAAGCAUCAGGUAACAUCAAAUCGUACCCCAAACCGACACAGGUGGUCAGGUAGAGAAUACCAAGGCGCUUGAGAGAACUCGGGUGAAGGAACUAGGCAAAAUGGUGCCGUAACUUCGGGAGAAGGCACGCUGAUAUGUAGGUGAAGCGACUUGCUCGUGGAGCUGAAAUCAGUCGAAGAUACCAGCUGGCUGCAACUGUUUAUUAAAAACACAGCACUGUGCAAACACGAAAGUGGACGUAUACGGUGUGACGCCUGCCCGGUGCCGGAAGGUUAAUUGAUGGGGUCAGCGCAAGCGAAGCUCUUGAUCGAAGCCCCGGUAAACGGCGGCCGUAACUAUAACGGUCCUAAGGUAGCGAAAUUCCUUGUCGGGUAAGUUCCGACCUGCACGAAUGGCGUAAUGAUGGCCAGGCUGUCUCCACCCGAGACUCAGUGAAAUUGAACUCGCUGUGAAGAUGCAGUGUACCCGCGGCAAGACGGAAAGACCCCGUGAACCUUUACUAUAGCUUGACACUGAACAUUGAGCCUUGAUGUGUAGGAUAGGUGGGAGGCUUUGAAGUGUGGACGCCAGUCUGCAUGGAGCCGACCUUGAAAUACCACCCUUUAAUGUUUGAUGUUCUAACGUUGACCCGUAAUCCGGGUUGCGGACAGUGUCUGGUGGGUAGUUUGACUGGGGCGGUCUCCUCCUAAAGAGUAACGGAGGAGCACGAAGGUUGGCUAAUCCUGGUCGGACAUCAGGAGGUUAGUGCAAUGGCAUAAGCCAGCUUGACUGCGAGCGUGACGGCGCGAGCAGGUGCGAAAGCAGGUCAUAGUGAUCCGGUGGUUCUGAAUGGAAGGGCCAUCGCUCAACGGAUAAAAGGUACUCCGGGGAUAACAGGCUGAUACCGCCCAAGAGUUCAUAUCGACGGCGGUGUUUGGCACCUCGAUGUCGGCUCAUCACAUCCUGGGGCUGAAGUAGGUCCCAAGGGUAUGGCUGUUCGCCAUUUAAAGUGGUACGCGAGCUGGGUUUAGAACGUCGUGAGACAGUUCGGUCCCUAUCUGCCGUGGGCGCUGGAGAACUGAGGGGGGCUGCUCCUAGUACGAGAGGACCGGAGUGGACGCAUCACUGGUGUUCGGGUUGUCAUGCCAAUGGCACUGCCCGGUAGCUAAAUGCGGAAGAGAUAAGUGCUGAAAGCAUCUAAGCACGAAACUUGCCCCGAGAUGAGUUCUCCCUGACUCCUUGAGAGUCCUGAAGGAACGUUGAAGACGACGACGUUGAUAGGCCGGGUGUGUAAGCGCAGCGAUGCGUUGAGCUAACCGGUACUAAUGAACCGUGAG